GUGCUCACUUCAGCAGCACACAUACUAAAACUGGAAUGAUACAGAGAAGAUUAGCAGGGCCCCUGCACAAGGAUGACACACAAGUUCAUCGAGUGUUCCAUAUUUUU
Small nuclear RNA from Pongo abelii (Sumatran orangutan), 107 nucleotides. The record is from Ensembl. NCBI's taxonomy places the organism in Eukaryota, Metazoa, Chordata, Mammalia, Primates, Hominidae.